UCCCUAAGUAACAGCUAAGUGUUAAAGAACAAAUAGUGUUUAACAGCAUAGACAGCUGGAAGGUUGGCUUAGAGGCAGCCAUCCUUUAAAGAGUUCGUAACAGAUCACCAGUCAAGUUCUUGAGCCUAGAAAAUGGACGGGACUAAGUUGUUCACCGAUACUUUGGGCCACCGAAAGGUGAUGCGGUAGAGAGGCGUCGUGCGCGGGUGGAAGUGGGGCCGUGAGGUCCUGUGGACCGCGUUCGAAUGAUAAUCAUGGAAAUAGUAGUAGCGUAGAUGGGUGAGAAUCCCAUCCGCCGGAGGGGCUAGGGUUCCUCGACGAUGUUCAUCAGUCGAGGGUUAGUCGGUCCUAAGGUUCCCCCUAACAGGAGGAAUCGAAAGGGAAGCAGGUUAAAAUUCCUGCACCAAUUCAUAUUUUGUCCAGUUCCUGACACAUCGGGUCUUGUGGAGCACUCCUGUCUGAGUGUUGCCUUAAGCAAUAAAAUUGUGGAGUACCGUAAUGGUGAGAAGCAAACUAAGCUUUUGGGAGGCGAAGUAUUUCGCUUCUGCGUUAGCCUGGUGUCCGUGAAAAGGGAGCUGGAGCCGUAUGAGUUGUCCGUACCGAGAUCUGACACAGGUGCCCCUAGGUGAGUAGCCUAAGGCGUCGCGGCAGAAUCCGGGCGAGGGAAUUCGGCAAAUUAGCCCCGUACCUUUGGUAUAAGGGGUGCCAGCUCUGAAGAGAGCUGGUCGCAGUGACUAGGGAGCUCCGACUGUUUACUAAAAACACAGGUGGCUGCUAGUCCGUAAGGAUGAGUAUAGCCGCUGAAUCCUGCCCAGUGGUGGUAUCUGAAACCCUGUUUCAACGGGACGAAGGACCACUAAACGGCGGGGGUAACUAUGACCCUCUUAAGGUAGCGUAAUACCUUGUCGCUUAAUUGGCGACUUGCACGAACGGCCUAACGAGAGCUCUACUGUCCCCGCCCGGAGCCCGAUGAAAUUGACUUACUGGCGCACAGUCCAGUACGUCCCAGCCGCAAGCGAAGACCCCGUGGAGCUUUACUGCAACCUGCCGUUGUGGCACGAGUUGUUAUGUGUAGCGUAGACGGGAGACAUUACACAGGUGCGAGCGCUAGCUCGUCGCCGAGUCACCGAUGAAACACCGUCCUUUUCGAUUCGUCCCACUCACCUCUUCGGAGGAACCCCGGUAGGCGGGCAGUUUGGGUGGGGCGCCACUCCCUCGAAAAAAUAACAAGGGAGCCCAAAGGUCAGCUUAGGUAGGUCAGGAAUCUACCGUUAAGUGCAAGGGCAAAAGCUGGCUUGACGUGGUUUGGCAACACAACAAACCACGAUGCGAAAGCAGGGCCUAGCGAACCAACCAGCGCCGUUAGUAGGUGCGGUUGAUAACAGAAAAGUUACCCCGGGGAUAACUGAGUUGUCUGGAGCAAGAGCCCACAUCGACCUCCAGGCUUGCUACUUCGAUGUCGUCUCUUCCUAUCCUGGGUGUGCAGAAGCACCCAAGGGUGGGGUUGUUCGCCCAUUAAAAGGGAUCGUGAGAUGGGUUUAGACCGUCGUGAGACAGGUUUGUUGCUAUGUGCUGGGACUGUCCAAUGCCUGAGGGGAAGGAUCCUCUAGUACGAGAGGAACGAGGGUUCGCAGCCACUAGUUUACCAGUUGUCUGACAAGGCACUGCUGGGCAGCCACGCUGUAAGGGAUAAGAGCUGAAAGCAUCUAAGCUCGAAACCCGCCUCAAAACGAGGCAUUAUGACACUUAUAGAAGAUAAGAUAGAUAGGACCGGGGUGUAAGCACCGAGAAUUACAGUACUGUUUGAAAGCUACUUCGGUAGCUGGACGAU
This 1831-nucleotide ribosomal RNA is filed under the name marine metagenome. RNAcentral describes it as "bacterial LSU rRNA". It matches the Rfam family "Archaeal large subunit ribosomal RNA", at positions 1126 to 2972 of the family's 2987-position model. The record is from RNAcentral.